UUUUAUCUUCUGCCUUUCUCCAGAAGCUUCCCAUUCUCUCUCUGUAUCGCUUCAUGUUCAUCUUCAUCUUCUCUGAUUUUCAUCUUCAAAUCUUCAUGUUUUCAUGGUAUCAGAGGAGGAAAAUCUUCUGAUCCUUCUCUGUUAUGUGUUAUCGAUACUUGAUGAAGUUUUUGCUGAAGUUUUUUUUCGGUUAUCUGAGAAAAAUACUGUUUGUAUAUUUUUUUCCGAUGAAUGUUAAUCGGUUAAUCGGGACUUUUCUAACUGUUUGAGGCUCCGAUCUUGUAUCAGUAGAUGUUUUGGGUGAUUUUCCGACAUCUCUGAUUUUGUUCCGACGAGUUCUUCAAAUUCUAGGGUUUUCCAACUUUCGGACCUAGAGCUUUGGUGUUAUCCGAUGACUUUGUCUUUGCUUGAUAGACGUUUUGGGUAACUUUCCGGUGUUUGUGACCUUAUUCCGGUGAGUUUCAAAACCUACGGUUUCCGGUGUUGGACCUAAGGUUUUCUCUGUUGAUUGAAGGCCGCAUGACUUUCUCUUCGCCUGAUGGACAUUUUGGGUAACUUUCCGGUGUCUGUGACCUUAUUCCGGUGAGUUUCAGAACCUAGGGUUUCCGGUGUUGGACCUAGGGUUUUCUCUGUUGAUUGAAGGCCGAUCUUCUCUGGUCGCGAAGAAAGAGGGUAACUCUGUCUUUAUUUUGAGUAUUGUAUUGCUUUGUAUGUGAGUAUCUGGUUCCGCAUGUGAGUAUCUGGUUCCGUUACAUUUUGCUUGUCGAAACUGUUUUUCUUUCAAGCUGGUUCAUUAAUCAUGACUUUUAAUACCAAUGCUGGUACCUCCUCCUCGGUAGACUCUACCAGCCCCCUCUUUGUGUAUUCCUCUUAUGUCCCUGGGGUCUCUCUUGUCCCCACUCCCUUCUCGGGUAGUGGUUAUGGGGGUUGGAGGAGAAAAAUGAUUAAUACCAAUGCUGGUACCUCCUCCUAGGUAGACUCUACCAACCCCCUCUUUGUAUAUUCCUCUAAUGUCCCUGGGUUCUCUCUUGUCCCCACUCCCUUCUCGGGUAGUGGUUAUAGGGUUGGAGGAGAAAAAUGAUUGUCGCAUUAUUUGCUAACAACAAAAUCGGAUUUGUUGACAGCUCAUGUCCUCGACCAACCUCUAAUGUGGCUCAACAGAGGCUGUGGGAUAGAUGUAAUAACAUGGUCAUUUCCUGGUUGACCUCUUCCCUAUCUCCUCAGAUUUCUGAUAGUGCAGUAUUCCGAUACUGCACAGAGUAUAUGGUCCCAAAUUGAGAAAAGAUAUGGUAUCCAUAACAAGACCAAUAUUUUUGAAUUAAAAAAGGAACUUUCCCCCACAUCUCAAGGCUGCUUAGACGUAGCCUCAUACUUUAACCAGCUCAAAGGCCUGUGGGAUGAGUUGGGC
This 1408-nucleotide long non-coding RNA is filed under the name Nicotiana benthamiana. RNAcentral describes it as "long non-coding RNA (NBEN_LNC021676)". Lineage: Eukaryota; Viridiplantae; Streptophyta; Magnoliopsida; Solanales; Solanaceae. The record is from RNAcentral.